GGGGAAUCUGCAAGCCCGUCUAAACAAAAUGUAGGCAUAAUUCAAACGAAUCCGAAUCAUCAUCUGUGCUGUCCAUGAAAACUCACAAUGCUGCGGAGUACAGGAUAAUAAUAAUGAAUAAUUUUCGAGGAUCGCAUUAAUUUCCCCGUCGAUUUUUUCCACGUUUUCCUUGGUGCUUUCGAAUUCCGAUCAUAACAAAGUAAUUGCCUUGGUCUUAUAUUUACUUCUCCACAAUCAUCAUAUCCUCUUAAGCUCCAAUCAUCUCCAGAUCACCUCUAAAGUUACAUGUUUCUCUUUCUGAUUUCUACUCUCUUAAGCUUUCUGUUUGGUUCGCGAGAAAAGUCUUGAAAGUGAAGAUUGUGUAAAAGUUCAAUGGGGAAUGCUUCGUCAAUGCUUACUCAAUAUGAUAUAGAAGAGGUUCAACGACACUGUCAUAAUCUAUUCUCCCAGCAAGAAAUAGUGUCCUUGUAUAAAAGAUUUUGCCAGCUUGAUCGUAAUGCUAAAGGAUUUAUCUCAGCUGACGAGUUCUUAUCAGUGCCUGAGUUUGCAAUGAAUCCACUUUCCCAGAGGCUGCUUAAAAUGGUGGAUGGUUUGAAUUUUAAGGAUUUUGUGGCAUUCUUAUCUGCAUUUAGUGCUAAAGCAAGUCUGGAACAGAAAGUAGGACUUAUUUUCAAGGUAUACGACUCAGAUGGUAAUGGAAAAGUAUCUUUCAAUGAUAUAUUAGAAGUCCUUCAAGAUUUGUCAGGUUCUUUCAUGUCUGAUGAGCAAAGACAGCAAGUGCUGUGCCAAGUUUUGAAAGAGGCAGGUUACACAAGGGAAUCUUACUUGAUGCUGGAUGACUUCAUUAAGGUUUUUGGACAUUUUGGCCUAAAAAUGGAGGUGGAAGUUCCAGUUGACUAAAGCUAAUCAGGCAGUCUUUCAUACCUAAAACUUGAGAUAAGCACUUGGAGAAAAAGACCCUCUAUUGUGCUUAUUGUUAAACGCUUUGAAGUCAAAUUGAAAGAACAUACAACUGUAUUCAUGUCUUUAUGUAUAACCUCAAAUUAAUUAUUAAAAAAAAAAAAGAAGAAAGGAACGAAGAAUCAGAAACUUGAGUGUUAGAAUAAACUUUCAGCUUAUCUGUAAAUGGUUCAUCAUCUCUGGAAUUUUUAGCAUUUGAGAUGUAUGAUUUAGUUGUUGAGAAGUUACUUCUUUAUUGUCUAAUUUAUCUCAAAUACCUGCAUUUAUUGAUCUAUGGGAAUUUGUCCGAUUAUUGGGGAGAUAUUAUCGUGUGAAUACACCACAGUGAUUUUUCAGUGGUUUAUUGGGUCCAAUUUCUUGCAUGCUGGGAAGUAGAGACACGAGGAAGGGAAGGAUUUAUUGGUAAAUUACAAGAACUCCAGUGCUCUUUUUGUACUUGCAACCACCAGCUGCUUAAAGGUGAAGCAUCUGGCAGAGAGUGAAGCAUCUGGCAGAGACUCUUGAUCUACUGGAGCCAAAAUUUGACCCUUAAAUAUGUAAGAAGCCAAAAUAUAUUGCUGUUAAGUGGCUACACUGUUCUUAAACCGUGACUCUGUUAACUGCAAUCACCUACCUGCAAUAACUGAUGUAUAUUCUAAGUGAAGACGUUCUCUCGGCAACUGCCUGGCAAUUUCCCAUGAAAAGCCCCCUUCAAUCUCCUUCUGUGACAAGAUGUUAUAAGUUACAUGUUGCUCUGGACACUUUAG
RNAcentral lists this unclassified non-coding RNA (1706 nucleotides) under Hevea brasiliensis (rubber tree). The record is from RNAcentral. Lineage: Eukaryota; Viridiplantae; Streptophyta; Magnoliopsida; Malpighiales; Euphorbiaceae.